AGGGAAUCUUCCGCAAUGGACGAAAGUCUGACGGAGCAACGCCGCGUGGGUGAUGAAGGCCUUCGGGUCGUAAAACUCUGUUGUCAGGGAAGAACAAGUACCGGAGUAACUGCCGGUACCUUGACGGUACCUGACCAGAAAGCCACGGCUAACUACGUGCCAGCAGCCGCGGUAAUACGUAGGUGGCAAGCGUUGUCCGGAAUUAUUGGGCGUAAAGCGCGCGCAGGCGGUCCUUAAGUCUGAUGUGAAAGCCCACGGCUCAACCGUGGAGGGUCAUUUGAAACUGGGGGACUUGAGUGCAGAAGAGGAAAGCGGAAUUCCACGUGUAGCGGUGAAAUGCGUAGAGAUGUGGAGGAACACCAGUGGCGAAGGCGGCUUUCUGGUCUGUAACUGACGCUGAGGCGCGAAAGCGUGGGGAGCAAAC
Molecule: ribosomal RNA, 424 nt
Filed under: uncultured bacterium
Lineage: Bacteria
Description: bacterial SSU rRNA
Rfam family: Bacterial small subunit ribosomal RNA
Source: RNAcentral